AGAGAUGUCUGGGCCUUGACCAAUGAGAUCUUCAGGAGUACUUCAGCAGCUGUUUCGGAUUUUUCUCUGUGGAUGUCCUCAUGGGACUAAGUGGAAAUUGGAAAAGUAUCAUCAAACUCUUCUUGAGAUUCCUUUUUGAUAAGGAAGAUUGCAGAAAAAUUUGUGGCUGAAGAGGAUGCACUGAGAAGAAAGAUAACUGCCCUUAUUCUAAAUCCCAAUCUUCAAUCAAGUACUAAGAUGGUCUGCACUUUGCCUGUGGCGAUUUCCUUAGGUAGCUGGAGAGGAAACCUCGGUGGUGGUGGUGACCCACAGACUGCCCUGCUGGGAAAAUGCACUGACCAGUCAUCAGCAAAUUCUAGCCCAUUCAGCAGGUUGAAAAGCUACUGACCAGGAAGGUCAUUUCCAGCAUUUCCCAUAGCUUCAAGAUUACUAGUACAGACGCAGAAGCUGGGCAAUCUCGUUCCACAUUCCACCUGAAUGACAGGUAUGCUAGAUAAUCUUAACAGCAGAAAAGGCUAAUUUUAUAUUGUCAAUCAUAACAAAGUUAGAUCCCCACAACUCGUAUGAAAUUUACUUAAAUUGUCACUGCUAAGAAAUUGAAAACUUCUGGCUGAAGUAUAGGUUACAUCCUCUAUUUCUGAAUGUAGAAAAAUGACUAUUAGUUUUCCAUUCAGAUCCUAUUGCAGUCAAAUUUUCUUUAUUCUUAAUCAGAAUAGGAAGGCAUGGAAAGAGGGAUUUAUCUUUUAUUAUCUAUAUCCAGUCUACUGAGUAAGUGAUAAGAGUCUAAAAAUUUGGUCACUGUUUUAGGUUAGGUCUGUCGUUGUAUCACAGUAGCCUUCAAAUAGAUUAGUUACCAUCUUUUAAAAAAUGACUAUUUUGAGGGAUGCAUGAUUCUAAAAAGCUAUAGGAGAAGACAAAACAGUGUUUCUACUUUAAAGGAGCUGUUCACAUUUGUAGUUGGGAAUAUUCAACACACACCCCAAAAAGAAAAUGAAGAUUAGUUACAAAGCAACUUAUAAAGCAAUAUGUUAAUUUGCAAGGUACUAAUUUGUAAAUAGCACUACAGUUGGUGAAGUUACUGGACCUAGUUGAUGGCUAUGUGCCUGAUGUGAUAAGGAUGAAGGAGAUGUGGUCCAUCUAUUGGAGGGUGAGUGACAACUGCAGACUCAGGCUUAGCCCUACUCUGAAGUGUACCUUUAUGCUGGGAAGGAAUAAUAACAGGCACACAAGAUUCAAGUGCUAUUCCUGACCCUUAUCCACACUGUUGGUGCUCCAGCUCCUUGCCAAUUCCCAGGCUUCUGUCUAAACUCUAAGCCUGGAUUCUCAGUUCUUGUAGGUCAGACCCCGAGUUGGGUCCUUCACUCCUGGGUUCUGCUGCCCCAAAGCUUCCAGACUUCAGGCCUAUCUGACUUAUAGUACCUAUGAAUACCUCUUAUUGCCUAGGCAAAAUCUGGAUCCUAAUUCUUCCUGGAAGCCUUUAUCUUGUCAUCACUCAAUUUCCAGAAUAACAGCUGCCCUUAAGAGGUCCCACCAAUGGUGAGCCAAUUUCAGAGUAGUAAAAGAGAGCCUGUAAUCAACGGUGAGAGGUAUAGGGCAGGCCAUCAGACAAUCAGGAAUUAUGAAGCGGUAAAGACACAGAGAGAUCACUGGAGUCUCAGGGGCUUCACUAAGGAGGAGGAACGUGAGCCAGGCAGGUUUUAGAGAGAAGGGGAGAUGACAUUUGAAACUAAGGAGAGACACAGGCAAAGGUGAUGGGAAAUGACAGGGUAAGAGUGGUGUGGGGACCAGCAAGGGAGACAAGUUUGGCUGGGUAGGGGUUGCUGUUGGUCAUAGUAGGAUAGCAAUGGAAAAUUAAAUUCAAUAUGAAACUCUGGAAAGAAUACAGCAAUAAGCUUGUGGAUUUCUGAGCCAUUGCUGGUUUCUCGAAAGCAGUGUUUUUCAGAGGGUUAGCCUGGCAGCCUUGCAAGGAUGGAGUUGGUGAGGAGAGAGACCUGAGGCCCAGAGACCAGUCAGGAGACUGACUUUGUGCUGUAGGUGGCAGAGGAAGAGCAGGUAAGUGGGUGAGGCAAGGGAGGAAGAAACAGUCCUUCAUCGCUCACCUGGGGAGCACUCAGCUGACUACAGGGAAGGUAACGGAGACCAUGCUGGCUGCUGGUGGGGUGGGGCUGUGGAGAGCUGGGGCCAGUGCCUCCAUCAAAAGCUCCCCCUGAGGAGUGUGUGUCCCAGUGAACCUAGAUCUUCUCAGUUUUUAAGAGAAGCUGGAAGUUUAUAAUUGCAAGUUUUGUUUUUAUUUAACAGCUCCCAAUUUUUAAAAUGUGGUGACUAAUUCAAAAGGUUGCCUACCCACUGACAGGACAAAGAGAACCUAUCUGCAGCCCAAGGUAGGCCUGCAGGCCACCAGCUUAUGAUCUCCAAGCUUAGAUUCCCUUUAGUCCCACUUCCCAAACCAGGAUGCAAACCUGGAGCAAGGACCAUGGCUUAAUGUUUUUGGAUAUCUUCUAAAAGGUUAGUACUGUGCAGUACUGGAAACUGGCUGACACUCCAUGGUGCUGGUGGAUGCUGCAGUGGGAGCAGGUUCCCUCCAUGGUAAGGUGUAUUUUAUCUUUGCCAUCCUUAGGAAUGGUGACAACAGAAGGCAGACUGACUUUUAGUGGUCUCGUUAUUGUUUUUAAAUUCUUCCAUAGAAUGCACCUACUUAUUACCUGCAUCUGCACUCCUCCGACAUCCCCUCACUACCACCAUGGCAUGCAUGCCAGUGCUCAGUAAUGCUUGAUUGUCCUGCCAGGACAAAUCCCAGAUAACCUUUCUUCUUUGCCGAUCUUAUCAAUAUAAGUGUCAGGCUUACUUAGACUAGCUCAUCUCAUCACCCUCUAGAAGCUUCCCUGACUACCUUACUCAUAGGGAUCUUUCUUACCCCUGAAUUCUUUAGCACAAAAGAGACACCAUCUUACCUCUUACCUUGUGCUAUUCCAUAGUUAAGUCACCUCUGCCGAGUCUUCUCAACAAGAGCAAAAGCCUGGUGAGAAUAGCAACUGCACUUCUAAAUUUUUUACUUUUAUUUCUCAUAGCAUUCGGCACAAUGCUGAGCAUACAACUUAAUGAUACUACAUGUCAAAUGACAAGCUGAAACUUAAACCCAGAUGAAAGAAAUUCAUAUGACACACUUAUCUUUACAGUAUUUUUUUUUUUUUAAUAAAAAUGAGAUGGGGUCUUGCUUUGUUGCCCAGGCUGGUCUCAAACUCUUGAGCUCAAGCAAUCCUCCCACCUUGGCCUCCCAAAGUUCUGCGAUUACAGACAUGAGCCACCACACCUGGCUGACAGUAUUUUUAUAAUGGUUGUUGUUACACCAGUCCAGGGUUUCCCCCUUGGUACUGGGUGAUCAAUCAGCUGGCCACAAGCACUAUGCACAGAGCUUAUGAUCUACUCUAACUCAGAACUUUCUCGGACUAAAAGAUGAGCUGGUUUAUGCU
RNAcentral lists this long non-coding RNA (3470 nucleotides) under Homo sapiens (human). RNAcentral describes it as "PREDICTED lncRNA (TCONS_00169947)". The record is from RNAcentral. Lineage: Eukaryota; Metazoa; Chordata; Mammalia; Primates; Hominidae.